GGGAGAUGUUCCUGCAGCAGAUAAGCCAAGUUUAUGAGAUAUAUAUAGAAUAUGUGCUGGCUGUUACAUGAUCUUAUUUCUUGUCUGCAAGAUUCAACUUAGUAUUGUAUCUGCUUCUGUAAUGUUCUGUUUGACAGUGGACAAGACAAAAUAACAAUGAGUCUAUGUUCCACGAUAUCCAAAAUGAUAUGUUUACAUGUUAUGGCUUAUUUUCUUUUUUAAUCAUCAUUAUUGAGAUUUUUUAUUUUUUUUUUG
This 255-nucleotide long non-coding RNA is filed under the name Trifolium pratense (red clover). RNAcentral describes it as "long non-coding RNA (TPRA_LNC013124)". The record is from RNAcentral. Lineage: Eukaryota; Viridiplantae; Streptophyta; Magnoliopsida; Fabales; Fabaceae.